AACCCGUGAAUUACCUUGGCAGCUGUCUACCACUGCCGAACACCCAUCCAUCUAUUGCACGCCGUCGACCGACUGAGCCGUGCCAAUAGGCGGAUGGGAGAUAAAUUGGGCGCAGUUACGUGCCAAGGAAAAUGUGUCGCCCGAGCGUCGACGGCAUAUCCUCAAAACGCAUGUUUUGCGGAGUUCCGUUGCUUGCUCCCAGUGAAUUGUAGGACUCUCGGCAAUGGAUAUCUUGGCUCUUGCAUCGAUGAAGAGCGCAGCGAAAUGCGAUACGUGGUGCGAAUUGCAGAAUCCCGUGAACCAUCGAGUUUUUGAACGCAAGUUGCGCCCGAGGCCAACUGGCCAAGGGCACGUCCGCCUGGGCGUCAAGCAUUGCAUCGCUCGGUUUGACACCCACCGCCAAUGCAAUGCGGCGGUGUUGUCGUCGAUGCGGAGAGUGGCCCGUCCUGCAUUGCGCGGCGGGUUGAAGAGCGGGAUGUCUUCUUCCCAUGGCAACGAUCGAUAGAUGGGUGGUAGGAAGCCCCUGUUGGCCCUCGACAUCGCGCGUUCGACUCGUGGAAAGAUGCACGUAUCCCAUGCUAACCCAACUCAAGUGAUGCAUGCAUGCGACACAUUGAAGUGCGACCCCAGGAUGGGCGGGGAAACCCGCUGAGUUUAAGCAUAUCAAUAA
Molecule: ribosomal RNA, 670 nt
Filed under: Pachites bodkinii
Lineage: Eukaryota; Viridiplantae; Streptophyta; Magnoliopsida; Asparagales; Orchidaceae
Description: eukaryotic LSU rRNA
Rfam family: 5.8S ribosomal RNA (bases 213-368)
Source: RNAcentral